AGUAACGGCGAGUGAACAGGGAAAAGCCCAAAUUUGUAAUCUGGCACUUUUUACAAGUGUCCGAGUUGUAAUUUGUAGAGCUGUUAUCCGUGCUGGACCAUGUACAAGUCUGUUGAAAAGCAGCAUCAUUGAAGGUGAAAAUCCUGUAGAUGAUAUGGACUACCAGUACUUUUGUGAUACGGUUUCUAAGAGUCGAGUUGUUUGGGAAUGCAGCUCAAAGUGGGUGGUAAAUUCCAUCUAAGGCUAAAUAUAAGUGAGAGACCGAUAGCAAACAAGUACCGUGAGGGAAAGAUGAAAAGAACUUUGAAAAUAGAGUUAACAGUACGUGAAAUUGCUGAAAGGGAAACGUUUGAAGUUAGUUUUGUAUUCGUUGGAUCAGCUUCGCAAGGAGUGUAUUCUGAUGAUAAGCAAGUCAACAUCAAUCUAUGAGUGCUGGAGAAGGGUUUUGAGAAUGUAGCAAUUUAAUUGUGUUAUAGCUUGAGACUUGGAUACAGUGCUUUGGAUUGAGGAACGCGUAGUAAGCUUUGAGCGGAUUCGAAAGGAUCUCCUUACUAUGGAUGUUGG
This 564-nucleotide ribosomal RNA is filed under the name Melampsora sp. HNMAP3163. RNAcentral's name for it is "eukaryotic LSU rRNA". It matches the Rfam family "Eukaryotic large subunit ribosomal RNA", at positions 82 to 629 of the family's 3401-position model. The record is from RNAcentral. Lineage: Eukaryota; Fungi; Basidiomycota; Pucciniomycetes; Pucciniales; Melampsoraceae.